Molecule: transfer RNA, 73 nt
Filed under: Bos taurus (domestic cattle)
Lineage: Eukaryota; Metazoa; Chordata; Mammalia; Artiodactyla; Bovidae
Also listed under: 3 other names
Rfam family: tRNA
About the family: Transfer RNA (tRNA) molecules are approximately 80 nucleotides in length. Their secondary structure includes four short double-helical elements and three loops (D, anti-codon, and T loops).
Source: Rfam by way of RNAcentral
UCCCUGGUGGCUCAGAUAGUAAAGUGUCUGCUUACAAUGCAGGAGACCCCAGGUUCAAUCCCUGGAUCGGGAA